RNAcentral lists this ribosomal RNA (650 nucleotides) under uncultured bacterium. RNAcentral's name for it is "bacterial SSU rRNA". It matches the Rfam family "Bacterial small subunit ribosomal RNA", at positions 61 to 717 of the family's 1533-position model. The record is from RNAcentral.
GUCGAGCGACGCACACCGGAGGGGUAACCCACUGGUAUGACGGAGCGGCGAACGGGUGAGUAACACGUGAGUAACCUGCCCCACAGACCGGGACAGCCCAAGGAAACUUGGAUUAAUACCGGAUACCCUCGAGGGAUCGCAUGAUCUUCUGAGGAAAUGCCUUUGUGCUGUGGGAUGGACUCGCGACUUAUCAGCUAGUUGGUGGGGUAACGGCCUACCAAGGCGUCGACGAGUAGCUGGUCUGAGAGGACGAUCAGCCACACUGGGACUGAGACACGGCCCAGACUCCUACGGGAGGCAGCAGCAGGGAAUCUUGCGCAAUGGGCGAAAGCCUGACGCAGCAACGCCGCGUGGGGGAUGAAGGCCUUCGGGUUGUAAACCCCUUUCAGGAGGGAAGAAAUUGACGGUACCUCCAAAAGAAGCACCGGCCAACUACGUGCCAGCAGCCGCGGUAAUACGUAGGGUGCGAGCGUUAUCCGGAAUCAUUGGGCGUAAAGAGCUCGUAGGCGGUUCAGUAAGUCGGCUGUGAAAUUUCGAGGCUCAACCUCGAAACUGCAGUCGAAACUAUUGUGACUCGAGUCCGGUAGAGGAGAAUGGAAUUCCCGGUGUAGCGGUGAAAUGCGCAGAUAUCGGGAGGAACACCAGUAGCG